Molecule: long non-coding RNA, 663 nt
Organism: Zea mays
Lineage: Eukaryota; Viridiplantae; Streptophyta; Magnoliopsida; Poales; Poaceae
Exons: 3
Source: RefSeq, a predicted model, not a curated record
UGCAUUGCGUCGACAACUCUAGAUGAAUACCGUUUGCAUUUUGAGAUGGAUAAGGCUUUGGCUCGUAGAUUCUAGCCAGUAUUGGUGAAUGAGCCUAGCCAGGAGGACGCUGUCAAGAUAUUACUUGGUCUGCGUGAGAAAUAUGAGACUUACCAUAAAUGCAAAUACACUUUAGAAGGGAUCAAUGCAGCACUUUACUUGUCAGCAAGAUACAUCCCUGACAGGCAUCUUCCUGAUAAGGCUAUUGAUCUGAUUGAUGAAGCUGGCAGUAUAGCUCGGAUGGAAUCAUUUAAAAGGAAGAAGGAAGAACAAUGCUCCAUUCUCUCCAAGUCACCAAACGAAUAUUGGCAAGAGAUUAGAGCUGUUCAGAGUACACAUGAAGUGGCGCUGGCUAACAGGUUGAAGUAUUCUCUUGAUGAGAAUGACAAAGAGGAUGGUGUUAAUAUUGAAGUCAUAGGGGACAACAAGAUUGCUUCGCCAUCGAUGCCUCCAACUUCAAUUAAUAUUUGGUGGUCGCAAAAGUGUGGAGACUUGAAUUUAUAUAAAGUUAGGCUUAACAUUAGUGCAAACAGUUGUAUUUUAGUUUAGAUUUAGAGUACACUUAUGUAUGCGUUGUUUGACAAUGCUUAUUUAUGAUAUAUUGAAUGGUACUUAUUUAUAUUA